Molecule: transfer RNA, 85 nt
Filed under: Felis catus (domestic cat)
Lineage: Eukaryota; Metazoa; Chordata; Mammalia; Carnivora; Felidae
Rfam family: tRNA
About the family: Transfer RNA (tRNA) molecules are approximately 80 nucleotides in length. Their secondary structure includes four short double-helical elements and three loops (D, anti-codon, and T loops).
Source: Rfam by way of RNAcentral
GCCUGGAUGGCUCAGUUGGUUGAGCGUCUGACUUUGGCUCAGGUCAUGAUCCCAAGGCUCAUGAGUUCAAGCCCCACAUCAGGCU